AUGUGGGAAGGCCCAGACAGCCAGGAUGUUGGCUUAGAAGCAGCCAUCAUUUAAAGAAAGCGUAAUAGCUCACUGGUCGAGUCGGCCUGCGCGGAAGAUGUAACGGGGCUAAACCAUGCACCGAAGCUGCGGCAGCGAACGUAUCACUUAAAGCGAUUCAGCGGGUUACGAUUGACGGAGCGAAGCGACGUCAAAGCGUAUACAAAGUCGAGUCGGUUUAAGGAUACGUUCGUUGGGUAGGGGAGCGUUCUGUAAGCCUGCGAAGGUGGCCUGUGAGGGUUGCUGGAGGUAUCAGAAGUGCGAAUGCUGACAUAAGUAACGAUAAAGCGGGUGAAAAGCCCGCUCGCCGGAAGACCAAGGGUUCCUGUCCAACGUUAAUCGGGGCAGGGUGAGUCGACCCCUAAGGCGAGGCCGAAAGGCGUAGUCGAUGGGAAACGGGUUAAUAUUCCCGUACUUGGUGUUACUGCGAAGGGGGGACGGAGAAGGCUAUGUUGGCCGGGCGACGGUUGUCCCGGUUUAAGCGUGUAGGCUGGUUUUCCAGGCAAAUCCGGAAAAUCAAGGCUGAGGCGUGACGACGAGGCACUACGGUGCUGAAGCAACAAAUGCCCUGCUUCCAGGAAAAGCCUCUAAGCAUCAGGUAACACGAAAUCGUACCCCAAACCGACACAGGUGGUCAGGUAGAGAAUACCAAGGCGCUUGAGAGAACUCGGGUGAAGGAACUAGGCAAAAUGGUGCCGUAACUUCGGGAGAAGGCACGCUGACACGUAGGUGAAGUGAUUUACUCAUGGAGCUGAAGUCAGUCGAAGAUACCAGCUGGCUGCAACUGUUUAUUAAAAACACAGCACUGUGCAAACACGAAAGUGGACGUAUACGGUGUGACGCCUGCCCGGUGCCGGAAGGUUAAUUGAUGGGGUCAGCGCAAGCGAAGCUCCUGAUCGAAGCCCCGGUAAACGGCGGCCGUAACUAUAACGGUCCUAAGGUAGCGAAAUUCCUUGUCGGGUAAGUUCCGACCUGCACGAAUGGCGUAAUGAUGGCCAGGCUGUCUCCACCCGAGACUCAGUGAAAUUGAACUCGCUGUGAAGAUGCAGUGUACCCGCGGCAAGACGGAAAGACCCCGUGAACCUUUACUAUAGCUUGACACUGAACAUUGAGCCUUGAUGUGUAG
This 1165-nucleotide ribosomal RNA is filed under the name Salmonella enterica subsp. enterica serovar Thompson. RNAcentral describes it as "partial 23S ribosomal RNA". It matches the Rfam family "Bacterial large subunit ribosomal RNA", at positions 1073 to 2141 of the family's 2925-position model. The record is from RNAcentral. Lineage: Bacteria; Pseudomonadati; Pseudomonadota; Gammaproteobacteria; Enterobacterales; Enterobacteriaceae.